RNAcentral lists this transfer RNA (72 nucleotides) under Parcubacteria group bacterium. RNAcentral describes it as "tRNA-Glu". It matches the Rfam family "tRNA". From Rfam's summary of the family: Transfer RNA (tRNA) molecules are approximately 80 nucleotides in length. Their secondary structure includes four short double-helical elements and three loops (D, anti-codon, and T loops). RNAcentral also lists the same sequence under 1 other name. The record is from RNAcentral.
GGUCCCAUCGUCUAGUGGUUAGGACACGACCCCUUCAAGGUCGUGACACGGGUUCGACUCCCGUUGGGACCG